GCUCAUCAGCAUGUUCAAAACUUAUUCAUGAAAUCCAAAAGGCAUCAAAAUUUUCUGUCCAGUUUUCAGAUUACAGGUUGUAAGCAACAAGUUCAGAAUACACUGUCAUCAUAUAAUCUUAAUUGUGAGAAAUGUCAAUGCUACAGCAGGGUUUUCUGAUGUUUUGUGUGUACUGUGAUUUCAGGGCACAUACUUCUGAGGAUAUGCAACCUGGUACAUAAAGUCCUGUGAAACAAGACUGUUGGUAAAGAGGGCAAGGUUCUAUGUGUUACAUUUUCUAUUCUCCUUUUAUUUUACAAAUUUGGUUCACCUUCAUGACAUUGUUGAGUAAACCUGUCCUGAGUUUCUGUGUCUUGCAUGACCUUUCACCUGAAUGUUCAUGUAACGCGGAGCUAAAGCACUUUGGAGCAAUGUUUGCCCCAACCAUCUAACGACAGCAAGUUAUCACUUGCUUGUGGAGCACCCACUUAAUUUUCCAGCUUCAACAUACAGAACUGCACUGCCGAGAAAGCAUUUCCAGAUGACACUGCCAGGAAAGCAUUGCCGAGAAUUGGGAGAUGUGCGGAGAUCUAGUGUGCUAAUGCAAUGGAAAGAUUGGAUCAGAGCGACUAUAGCAACAGGUACCCCCUUGAGCAACAGUUUAAGAUUCUUGGAAAAAAUAUUCUUAUAAGAGUUCAUUUUCUGUUGUACUCCAUUACUUCUACUCCCAUUAAAUAGCGUGUGGCUUCUUGUUGGAGUAUGAUGGCUGGGAAAUAUAGUGAUCGAAUAUUUGCAGUAAUAUUUUUCCAAGAUAGAUCCAUCCACCACAUAUGAAACUGAAGUUUUUCUGAAACUGAGCAUU
Molecule: long non-coding RNA, 841 nt
Organism: Lolium rigidum
Lineage: Eukaryota; Viridiplantae; Streptophyta; Magnoliopsida; Poales; Poaceae
Exons: 3
Source: RefSeq, a predicted model, not a curated record